RNAcentral lists this ribosomal RNA (432 nucleotides) under uncultured bacterium. Its description in RNAcentral is "partial 16S ribosomal RNA". It matches the Rfam family "Bacterial small subunit ribosomal RNA", at positions 29 to 506 of the family's 1533-position model. The record is from RNAcentral.
AACGAACGCUGGCGGCAUGCCUAACACAUGCAAGUCGAACGAGACCUUCGGGUCUAGUGGCGUACGGGUGCGUAACGCGUGGGAACCUGCCCUUAGGUUCGGAAUAACUCCCCGAAAGGGGUGCUAAUACCGGAUAAUGUCUUCGGACCAAAGAUUUAUCGCCUUUGGAUGGGCCCGCGUUGGAUUAGCUAGUUGGUAGGGUAAAAGCCUACCAAGGCGACGAUCCAUAGCUGGUCUGAGAGGAUGAUCAGCCACACUGGGACUGAGACACGGCCCAGACUCCUACGGGAGGCAGCAGUGGGGAAUAUUGGACAAUGGGCGAAAGCCUGAUCCAGCAAUGCCGCGUGAGUGAUGAAGGCCUUAGGGUUGUAAAGCUCUUUUACCCGGGAUGAUAAUGACAGUACCGGGAGAAUAAGCUCCGGCUAACUCCGU